This 966-nucleotide long non-coding RNA is filed under the name Theobroma cacao (cacao). RNAcentral describes it as "long non-coding RNA (TCAC_LNC005303)". Lineage: Eukaryota; Viridiplantae; Streptophyta; Magnoliopsida; Malvales; Malvaceae. The record is from RNAcentral.
AAAGAAAGAACAAAAACCCUAAAGUGAAAAUUCAAGAGAAAUUUGGUGGAUUUCAAGUAAUCAAGCAAUCAAAGGUAAAAUUUCUUGAUUUUGACUUGUGAUCUACCUUUCCCAUACAUUCUUUUGCAUUUUUCAUGGUUGAAUCACAUGAUUUCAUGAUGGGUCUCUUGCUGGCCGAACACUUACAGAGAGAUUUUGAUGAUUGUUUUGGUUAGAUUUUAAGAUAUUCUAGUGUUUUUAGUUGAUUGGUGUGUGUAGCAUGAAAAGCCAACAAGAAAAAUUCAUUUUCUCCCAUCACCCAUCAUUGGCCGAAUUCUCCAUGUGGAAUAUUGAUGAUGAUUUUGAUUUUAUUUCAAGUGAUUUGGUUAGAAAUUAGUGAUUUACGGUGAGAAAAUCAAGUAGGAAAAAUCAUAGUAUUGAUGCACCCACCAUGGCCGAAAUUCCCAAGAGAAAAUGUGAAGAUGAUUUUGCUAAAUUUUAUGCUAUUUGACUUGUGUUUGAUGGUUUGGAGAAUUGGAAGAAAAAUGGAGUUAAUUGGAGUUGAAUUGGACAUAUUGGUCAAUUAAUCGAGUAAUAGAUUGAAUUAGGCCAAUACUGUUUUAUUUAGGUACACAAUUGAAUUUGUGUAGAACAUCGUAUUUAGAUGGUUACCCGAGCGUUUCACAUCCCAUUUCAUGCAUUAGUAAAGAGCCUAAAAUAAAUUUAUAAUGGUAUGACACAGUAUAUUGAAUUACGUGUCGUGUAUUUUAUAUAGGUGGUGAGCCCUCUAACAAGGGUAAAGACGUGUCAGAGGACUGAGAAUAGGAGUAUUUCAAACUCCUGAUACAAUGAGUAACCUUAUCAUCAUCUUGAUUAUCUGAAGUGAAUUUUAAUUCGUUUUUGUGAUUUUAUGAAAAAUGAGUUUAAAUGGUAAAUCUUUAUGUUUUAUAAGCAAAAUGUGAUUAAAUGAAAUGAUUUUAUAAAAUU